Molecule: ribosomal RNA, 492 nt
Filed under: uncultured bacterium
Lineage: Bacteria
Description: partial 16S ribosomal RNA
Rfam family: Bacterial small subunit ribosomal RNA
Source: RNAcentral
AGUGAACGCUGGCGGUAGGCCUAACACAUGCAAGUCGAACGGCGGCACAGUAAGAUCUUGCUCUUACGGGUGGCGAGUGGCGGACGGGUGAGGAAUACAUCGGAAUCUACUUUUUCGUGGGGGAUAACGUAGGGAAACUUACGCUAAUACCGCAUACGACCUACGGGUGAAAGCAGGGGAUCUUCGGACCUUGCGCGAUUGAAUGAGCCGAUGUCGGAUUAGCUAGUUGGCGGGGUAAAGGCCCACCAAGGCGACGAUCCGUAGCUGGUCUGAGAGGAUGAUCAGCCACACUGGAACUGAGACACGGUCCAGACUCCUACGGGAGGCAGCAGUGGGGAAUAUUGGACAAUGGGCGCAAGCCUGAUCCAGCCAUACCGCGUGGGUGAAGAAGGCCUUCGGGUUGUAAAGCCCUUUUGUUGGGAAAGAAAAGCAGCAGGUUAAUACCCCGCUGUUCUGACGGUACCCAAAGAAUAAGCACCGGCUAACUUCGUG